GCUUACCUGUGGAGCACUCUGGUCCUGUAGGAUUUGGUUUGUUAUUUUAGUUCAGUGAUUUACAGUUUGAGAGCUUUUGGAUCUUGCUUUGUUAUCAACAUUUUCCCAUUGGCUGAGAUUUCCCUUGCCUGCUCUGAGCUACAGGGCAGCCUUCCCCUCUGAUAGGCAUUAACAAACACAGCAGCUAACCUGGGGCUGACACAGCUGCAGCAUUUAUGCGAGUCACAUUGACAUCAAAUAGCAACCAUAUGCAUGGGGCCAGAGGUUAUACUUCUGCAGCAAAUUCGAUGCGACGAGGAAUGAAGUGCUAAUCUGUUAGUACUGUCAGCAUGCUGUCUGCAGAGGAAAUCAGAUCAUGUCCAAACAGAAAACUUUGCUUCAAGUAUGAAAAUGGUUUGUGAUAUAACAAGUUUCUUCAUUAUGAUAAUGUUGAUAGAGGCGGUUUCUCUCCGUAGGACUGAAACACAUGAUUCUCUGAGCAGAAAGGAGUGAUCCUCAGGGAUCUGAAUGCAUCUGGAAGACCUUCUCAUGAUGUGCUUAUUUUUUCUCAUGCCAGCUGAUGAUGCAUGGCAGCAGGGAUCAGAAGAAUCUACAUUCAGGAAAGAAAGGUAUCUCUGCAACAGGACUGACAAGGAGAAAAAGGAAUUACAAAACAGCAUGUUUUCUUUUCCCCUCAAAUGAGCAGUAAGCCAAUUAAAAUAUUCUAUCAUUAAUUAGUUUGGAAAUGAAGUAGAAAGUAGUCAAUGUUAAGACUGAAAUCUCAAGAUCCUCUUCUUUUAUACUCUUACCUUUACUGCAGUGCGGUCAUCCAUAUAAGCAGAAUUAGGCAUGUACAUUCAGCAUCUGCAGAAUCUUCACCUAUUUCAGCACAGUCCAUAUGAGAUAGUAAGGAUAUCCGCUCUGAGGAUUCCCAGCAUGUAAAUAUUGAAGAGUAUGGUUAACUACGUAUCAUGGCUGCUUUUCUGAAUUUACACGAGGAGCCUAAUGCUUUAGGAGUCAGAGACACGUGCAUUUCUUAGGUAAUACUUAAGUGCUUAGGAUCCUAUUCAGAGUCACUGAUAUGCAGGAAGUUAAGGCCCUCAUGCAGUUAUUGCAGAUCCCUUUUAGGCUUCUUUCUUUUGCAACUCACUGAGGAAUAUUUCUCUUUGUAUCUUGGACAACUGUGGCAAGCAGCCCUGAGAUUAGAAAUCAUGGCAACUCCUUGGUCUCUUAGCAGAAAAGGCAGUUCUGGUUACAUAUAUGAAAAACUCAGAAAAAAUAUCCGAACUGAUUGCAAGGUUACGUGAAUGCUGGGUGUAACUUCAACCCUUUCAAAUAUCUUGCAGCACCUCAGCCCUCUGGAAUGGACAGGUUUCAGUAAUUGCAUGUCAGACAUCACACGUAGCUGGGAGGAGUAAAUGAAAAGAUAUGACACAAAGCCAAGAGAAGUACGUUUCAGUGACAGUAAAUACUGAAGGAUCCCAU
Molecule: long non-coding RNA, 1464 nt
Filed under: Coturnix japonica (Japanese quail)
Lineage: Eukaryota; Metazoa; Chordata; Aves; Galliformes; Phasianidae
Description: lncRNA (ENSCJPG00005004698.1)
Source: RNAcentral